UGGCGGCAGGCUUAACACAUGCAAGUCGAACGSGUAGCAGGGAGAAAGCUUGCUUUCUUUGCUGACGAGUGSCGGACGGGUGAGUAAUGCUUGGGAAUCUGGCUUAUGGAGGGGGAUAACUGUMKGGAAACUGCAGCUAAUACCGCGUAUUAUCGGAAGAUGAAAGGGUGGGACCUUCGGGCCACCUGCCAUAAGAUGAGCCCAAGUGGGAUUAGGUAGUUGGUGGGGUAAGGGCCUACCAAGCCGACGAUCUCUAGCUGGUCUGAGAGGAUGACCAGCCACACUGGGACUGAGACACGGCCCAGACUCCUACGGGAGGCAGCAGUGGGGAAUAUUGCGCAAUGGGGGGAACCCUGACGCAGCCAUGCCGCGUGAAUGAAGAAGGCCUUCGGGUUGUAAAGUUCUUUCGGUAAUGAGGAAGGGGUAUUAUUGAAUAGAUAAUAUCAUUGACGUUAAUUACAGAAGAAGCASCGGCUAACUCCGUGCCAGCAGCCGCGGUCKAUACGGA
This 508-nucleotide ribosomal RNA is filed under the name Pasteurella sp. Melo102. Its description in RNAcentral is "bacterial SSU rRNA". It matches the Rfam family "Bacterial small subunit ribosomal RNA", at positions 37 to 529 of the family's 1533-position model. The record is from RNAcentral. Lineage: Bacteria; Pseudomonadati; Pseudomonadota; Gammaproteobacteria; Pasteurellales; Pasteurellaceae.